AUGCUUAUGCCUUGGUUCACAGCAAAUUUUGAAGAGCUGCCGGAGGAGAGCAAACUGCAGCCCGGGGAUGUCCUGCUCUUCCCUUUACAGAACAAACCUGUAUUUCUCGCACAAAUCUUCAAGCAUGCUGCCGUCUACUGUGGGGAUGAGGAGAUCAUCCACUUCCAGAACACAAACGAUCAUGCAAAUGGAGGACAAAUCUGCAAGGAAGGCCUCCAUGCUACGUUAAAGAAGAGGGGGAAAUGCCAGACUUACAGGAAAAAGGCUGGGGUUGACCUUGAUGCUUUCCAGAAAAAAGUCCGGAAGGUGAUGAACAGCACAGCCCAGUACAGUCUCACGGGAAACAACUGCAUCCACUUCGCACUCUACCUGCUGGGCUUGUCCGAUUUCUACUCAGAGGCAGUUAAAAUCAAGAAGAAUGACAGCCGUGGCAGUAGAGUGAGUAUUUGCAUGAGUGUCACUGCUCCCUCCAGGGCUGGGUCUCCAAGGAGGGCUGGAGUCCAUAAGGAGGGAUGCGGUUCGUAAGGAGGGCUGGGGUCCCCAGGGAGAUUUGGGUUCCCCAAGAGGCUCCUGGUCCAUAGGAACGUCACAGAAUCAUAGAAUAUCCCAGCUUGGAAGUGACCCACAAGGACCACUGAGUCUAACUCCUGGCUCCACAUAGGACUAUCUAAAAGUGAAACUGCAUUUCUAAAUGCUUCCUGAUCUCUGGCAGGUUCCGUGCAAUGACCCUGAGAGACCCUGUUACAUGUUCUGACCACCCUCUCUGUGAAGAACCUUUUUCUGACACCCAGCCUGACCCUCCCCUGUUCCAGCUCCAUGCCGUUCCCUCGGGUCCUGUCGCUGUCCCCAGAGAGCAGAGCUCAGCACCUGCCCCCCUGCUCCCUUCGUGAGGGAGCUGCAGGCCGCCAUGAGGCCUCCCCUCAGCCUGCUCUGCUCUUGGCCCUCAGCCGCUCCUCACGCAGCUUGCCCCCAGACCCUCACAAUCUUUGCUGCUCUCCUUUGGACGCCUUCUAAUGGUUUUAUGUCCUCCUUAUAUUGCCUGGGUCCCCAGGAGGGUGGGCCCCCAAGGAGUUACUGGGGUGUCCAAGGAGGGUGGUGGUCACCAGGCCGCUCGUGUUCCAGGGGAGCAAGCAGAAGGUGUGAGGGGGCGGCUAGCGGCCCGUUCCCCUCCAUGUCCAGGGCAGCCAUGUCCCUUUGUCCCCACGCUUUGUCUUUCCACGCAUCUGCUUCCUGCAAAUCAUGACUUUUUGGGGGUGUCCUUUCUAUUUUGUUUUGCGCUGGAUCAUUUCAAAGACACCACUCAGCACCCUCUGCGCGGGAAAGAAACAUUAAUCAGCUGCUUUAUUAAUUAUUUCCACCUAGUCUGCUCAUAUUUGCUGCUUCAUAUCCUGAGUGACUGGGUGAAGUAACUGCCCAGAUGAAAGUCACUAUUUCUGUCUUAAUGAAAAUAUGAAAUAAAAAAUGUUAA
Molecule: long non-coding RNA, 1468 nt
Filed under: Anas platyrhynchos platyrhynchos (common mallard)
Lineage: Eukaryota; Metazoa; Chordata; Aves; Anseriformes; Anatidae
Description: lncRNA (ENSAPLG00000026755.1)
Source: RNAcentral